This is a long non-coding RNA of Drosophila miranda, 878 nucleotides long. RefSeq lists it as uncharacterized. The record is from RefSeq and is a predicted model, not a curated record. The transcript is spliced from 3 exons. NCBI's taxonomy places the organism in Eukaryota, Metazoa, Arthropoda, Insecta, Diptera, Drosophilidae.
UCCCCCUCGUUUUUAGUAUCGGAUAUAAAAAUUGAAUUUUGAAGAUUGUGAAAAUAAAAUUUACUUUCCUUUAUUUAACAAAUUUCAGAUUUAAAGUUGGUUUCGUCUCGAUAAAAGUUAAAUUUUGAUAAAAGUGAAGCAGAAAAAUAAAAUGGUCAAAUAUAAGGUGAGGUGGAGUUCACUUAUGAAAAGCUGCUCAGUAUUUACAUUGAGAAUAAUCGAAGCGCCGCAGCACUUUCGAGAUGGAUUUUCGAAGAACUGAAGGCAUACUAAAUAAGCACGGAGAAAAAGGAUGAAAUAAAUAAUAAAGUAAGGAGCUUUUAUCUACACAUCCUAAAGUAUUUGGCAAAAUGCGGGAGAAACAUGUCUAAAUUUAAGAAAAAGCAUAACUCAUGGCUUUUGUCCAAGAUGGUUAUCAAAGUUGAAAGAACGUCGUCAUCGAGUUCCAUGACUUCAACAUCAAGAUCAGUUGGACGCCCACCAAUUGAAUAUAUAAAUGCUGGACCCCGUUUGAAGAGAAAAUUGACAUCAGAUUUAGCUGGCGAUCAAGGUCACAACACAUCUUUUCUUGUGCAUGCUGCUGCUCUUUCGGCUGAAAAAUCCAACGAAAAAGACACCGCUCAAUUGUUGAAAGACUCAUUUCUUACUCCGAGAAACCCCAAUACGGUAAAGGAAAAUCUUUUUACCGCAAUAGCAAAUCGUGUGCUCUCAUUCCAGCUUACAACAAAGUAAGACAAGCUACGAAGAUGCAGCCGAGGAAAGCAGCACCCGAAGCCAGAGUCGAGAGAAGGGCUCAUGGAAACUAUCAAACAAUAGACAAAUCAGUUCCGUUUGAGACAAGCAGACGUAAAGUUAAGUCGGGGAAUUGAACCUAAUCU